ACGAACGCUGGCGGCGUGCUUAACACGUGCAAGUCGAACGGAAAGGCCCUGCUUUUGUGGGGUGCUCGAGUGGCGAACGGGUGAGUAACACGUGAGUAACCUGCCCUUGACUUUGGGAUAACUUCAGGAAACUGGGGCUAAUACCGGAUAGGAGCUCCUGCUGCAUGGUGGGGGUUGGAAAGUUUCGGCGGUUGGGGAUGGACUCGCGGCUUAUCAGCUUGUUGGUGGGGUAGUGGCUUACCAAGGCUUUGACGGGUAGCCGGCCUGAGAGGGUGACCGGCCACAUUGGGACUGAGAUACGGCCCAGACUCCUACGGGAGGCAGCAGUGGGGAAUAUUGCACAAUGGGCGGAAGCCUGAUGCAGCAACGCCGCGUGCGGGAUGACGGCCUUCGGGUUGUAAACCGCUUUCGCCUGUGACGAAGCGUGAGUAACGGUAAUGGGUAAAGAAGCACCGGCUAACUACGUG
RNAcentral lists this ribosomal RNA (467 nucleotides) under uncultured bacterium. RNAcentral's name for it is "partial 16S ribosomal RNA". It matches the Rfam family "Bacterial small subunit ribosomal RNA", at positions 29 to 507 of the family's 1533-position model. The record is from RNAcentral.